GGUGCCGAUUUGCUUCUCAACUAAUGCUUUAAAUCUUCUGAAAUUCUCAAAUGUUUCUGAUUUGGAUUUCACGAAAUAUACCUAACUUACUCUGCUAAAGUCAUUCGUGAAAAGAAGAAAGUAAUAGCUGCCUCCUAAUGACUCUAUGUUCAUAGGACUGCAUAGGUUUGAAUGAACCAGUUCAAGUCUUUUGUUGGCUCUUCGUGCCUUCCCUGUAGGAAAUGACUUCCUAGUCUGCUUGCCAU
RNAcentral lists this unclassified non-coding RNA (245 nucleotides) under Hevea brasiliensis (rubber tree). The record is from RNAcentral. Lineage: Eukaryota; Viridiplantae; Streptophyta; Magnoliopsida; Malpighiales; Euphorbiaceae.